Molecule: long non-coding RNA, 734 nt
Filed under: Capra hircus (goat)
Lineage: Eukaryota; Metazoa; Chordata; Mammalia; Artiodactyla; Bovidae
Description: lncRNA (ENSCHIG00000007219.1)
Source: RNAcentral
CCACCUCAGGCAGGCUGAGCAAAUUUGAGCUGAGAUGAUCAUUAGUGUCUGGCUUUCCCAGAGCAGAAUGUGAUCUCUGAUUUAGCCCAGGUGAAGCAGGAAGCAGAAAAUAGGGCCGUGGGAAGAACACCUCCGGUUCUGCACCAGGGAAAGCUGCUCUGGGGUGUCUGCCAACACCCAGGUCUUCCCUCUGACCCUCAUUGGCCGGUCGAGGGGUCUCUCCGCUCCGCUGUGAUCCUCAGAGGCUGAGACUGUCCUGUGCAGCUAUUGGUUGCUUUGUGCUGAGCGGAGGACUCUGUGGUUGUUGGAAAGCAGUAUUAAAAGCCAAGGAGUGUCUCCGGUUGCAAGACUCCCCAGGCAUUAGCCCUCACUCCACUUCACGUCAGCCCAGGGAGUCCCUCCGUCUUCCUGGCCGAUGCACCUCGGACCGGCGACACACAGAGAUGAGCAUGUCCAGACUGCCCAGAGUGAGCAGAUUAAAGCAGUUUUGGAGGGCAGUAAUUUGCUGGAUGGAGACUCUGUGCUCUGACCUUUGAUGGUAUUUUCUGCGCACAUCUGAGCCAAGUUACUGAUUGGAAAGAUUUCCAGAUCCUCUCUUCAUUCCGGGGGAGCCGGUCAUGCAAAGACAUCUGUGGAUUGCUGUUAACCGCCGCGGAAUUAGAAAUAGAGGUGGAUGAAGAAGGUUGGAAGCUGGCCAAGCCCUUUUCAGAGAUAAUGGUCAUAUUAUAGCAUCC